Molecule: non-coding RNA, 110 nt
Organism: Acanthosepion pharaonis
Lineage: Eukaryota; Metazoa; Mollusca; Cephalopoda; Sepiida; Sepiidae
Source: the annotation of a GenBank genome assembly
UACGGACAUAUCACAUUAAAACACCGGUUCCCAUAGGAUCACCAAAGUUAAGCAUGCCGAGCCUAGAUAGUACCAAGAUGGGUGAAUGCUUGGGUAGAACAUAGGUUGUA